CACAAGCCACUCCCACUCUUUCAUCUCCUCUUUUAAAAGCCUUCUUCAACUAUUUCUCACGAGUGCAAUGAGAAUCUUCCAAAGUUAAUUGAAGGAAAUUUGCAUAGUCUGCAUCCCAACUACAGAAAGAAAUAGGAGGUAAUUUUCCACUACACUAGUAGCUUUCUUAAUAACAUAAUGUUAUUUAGCUCCACGAGAGUUACAUUUCCAGUUUAGAUGACGUUAAUGUGAUAUUAAAUUAUUAGUGACAUUAUUGAAAUAGCUAAUAACGUAGUCAAAAUUAUUUUUUGAGAUAAACUAAUUGUUAAAUGGAUGGAUUCAAUCUAUUCGUCCUUGUGUUGCAACAAAAAUGAAAGGUUUGAGAUAGCGAUUGAUAAAAAUAAAAAGUUUGAAUAAAGUCUGUAAAAAAUAUAUAUAUUGGGGACCGUGGCUGCAAUUCUCUCUAAAAUCAAUUUCAUGAUGAAUUUGAAUCACUUAUUCAAGAUAAGAAAGCAAAGUGCAAAGUGAUAUCACUUAUUCAAGAUAACUUAUUAGAAUUUAUUUUUUCCUGUCCUCUAUGAUAAUUAAUUAUACAUAUAUAUCAACUUGAACUGUCAAUUAUCAUUAAAGCAACUCCAUUAUGUGGGUCUUUGUGCUAAAACAUAAUCAUCCUAUAGGUAGACACUUUUGUUGGGAGAAAAAGUGAGAGACAUCUUUUUUCACUUGAAUAAUUAUUUUGGUUCUGUUCAUAGUCUUCAUUUUAGAAAACCUUGUAGAUACAAAAUGCUCUUAUGUGCCUCGAAAGAUCGAAGAGAUUUUGCACGAAGUCCCUGCAAAGUCGUUAUCAAGUCAUUCUCAUAAAUACAUGACGAGUUGAUCUCUAUUCAAUCUGGUAUCUUAAUUCUACUAAUUUAUUUGCUUCUGAUGUGUUUGAUCACAUUUUGCUUGCACGAAUAUGACCUUAUUUAUUGUUUUCAUUAAUUUACCUAUUCAACUUUUUUUCUCAUAACUUUUUAAGAUGAUCGUGUAUUUUGUAGUUAUAUUUAUAUCGAGAUACACAAAUAACUGAUUAUGAUUACCUAAUUUGCAACUGCCUAUGAUCAUUAUCUCGACUUGCCACGUUUUUGUUUUUC
This 1112-nucleotide long non-coding RNA is filed under the name Olea europaea subsp. europaea. The record is from RNAcentral. Lineage: Eukaryota; Viridiplantae; Streptophyta; Magnoliopsida; Lamiales; Oleaceae.